Molecule: non-coding RNA, 1698 nt
Organism: Lactuca sativa (garden lettuce)
Lineage: Eukaryota; Viridiplantae; Streptophyta; Magnoliopsida; Asterales; Asteraceae
Source: RefSeq, a predicted model, not a curated record
UUGCACAUGCUCAUUUGAUUGUAACUGACGGUGGUACCUUCUCCCUACAUCUAAACGUGGAAAACCCUAAUUUCAUCUGAAACCAUCAGUCAUCAUUUCUCACAAAUCUAUUAUGUCUCUCUAAUUGCUCACUUUAAUUUCUUCUGUCUCUCUAAUUGCUCUCUUCCGUCUCUCUCUCUAUAUAUCAUCUCUUAUCUCGGUCGAUCAAUAGGCGUUGCUUGUGGAAGAACCUUUCACCAUCUCUUCUCCCAAACUCUCUGAUAAGAGCUCUAAUCCAUAUCCUUCCUAUUCCAUUUAUGGUUCCCGUAUCAACAUUUGCCUCCUCCGUCGUAUCUCCUGCAAGCUAGGAUUGAAAUUUAGACACCAAUGGCCGCCAUCUUUGAUUUUCAGCACCACCCCAAGAAAUGUUCGAUUUUCAACAUCACCCAUUUAGAAGAUUUUGAAAUCACACCAUCAUUCACAGAAGAAACCACAACAUUCACCGCCAUUGAACAACCACCACCAGCUCCCUUCUCUCCAGGUUUGGGUUGUGGCUGCCUUCGCCCUUCUCUGCGUUUUUCUCUAAACAAAAACCCCUGAUGGAUGUGUACUUGGAAGUGUACUGAGAAAUUGAUCAAGAAGCAAGAGGAAUCUAUUUCACGAAAAACAUAUUCAUAAGAAUUUGAAGAAAUCCUUCCCAAAGAGGGAGGUAAAUAUUCUAAUAAGUGUGAUCAUCUCUUUCUCUCUCUCUCUUUAACUGUUUGUUUGUUUGUUUGUUUGUUUUUUAUAAGUAUCAUUCCUUCUUCAAUCUCAACACUUUGAUUCAAAAGAUGAUUUUUUUCUCAGCACCACCUCAAAGGUAUGUGAAGAAACAACUCAUAAUAUUUAGACAUGGGUAUCUUUUUUGAUUUGCAAACAUGGGACGUAAAUCUUGCAAUAGAAGCUUCAACAAACACACAAAGUUCAUACAAAGCUGCUACUUUAAUCACACAAGAAUCUCCAAACAAAGAGAUGAUGAUUUCCAUAAAAAAAAGUGAUCAAGAUGUUUUGGAAGAAAAGUUGAAGAGGGACAUAUCUGUCUUAAGUGGUUUAUAUUCUUAACACAGGGUUGAAAACUGUAAAUUUGAUUCAAGAGGUGCACCUGGUGUUGGUUUUACAACUCAUCUCAUCACGGUUAAAGCAGGAGAGUGUGUAGGGGCAAUGAGAAAAAAAGUCGAGAUGGUGUUUUCAUAGCAAGACGACUUGAAAUUUUGCUUCACCUUCAACCCCUUCAUCAAAGAUUAUCUUAUUUAUAUCAUUGUAAGUUUGCUAUUUCAUUUUUCUCAAGCUUAGUCUGGUUUGUAUAUUUGGUUUCUAUUUUUAUACUUUCUUGAUUCUUAUUCUUGAAUAAGCAUGUUCAUUUUUUGUUUUCUGGCUCUUCUCCCAUUAUUAGAAUGGUACGUAUUUGAUUUGCACUUCCGUUCAUCAUUGUUGAAAGUUUUUGAAAUUUCUGGUAGCAUUUAGCAGGAAAACAAGUUUCCAUCUGUUGCUGCUAAAGACUUUCUCUCAGUUUUGAUUCUUAAAUUAUUUUUUUUGUCAAGCUCAUGCAUUUGUUGAAGCAGUGAUUAUGUUAUUUAAAAUUUUCCUUUAUUUGUAAUUAGCACAUGGAAGGAUUCUACAAAGAACCAAGUUAUUCUUUUAGGAACUUUAUUAUUUAUGUUAUUAGAAUUCCCCUCUAAA